Molecule: non-coding RNA, 74 nt
Organism: Parelaphostrongylus tenuis
Lineage: Eukaryota; Metazoa; Nematoda; Chromadorea; Rhabditida; Metastrongylidae
Source: the annotation of a GenBank genome assembly
UGUCUCGGUGGCGUAGUGGUAGAGCACGCAUCCCUGGAUAGAACGAAACGUGGGUUCGAUUCCUGUCUGAGCAA